UACGUAGGCAGCGAGCGUUGUUCGGAGUUACUGGGCGUAAAGGGUGUGUAGGCGGUUGUUUAAGUUUGGUGUGAAAUCUCCCGGCUCAACUGGGAGGGUGCGCCGAAUACUGAAUGACUAGAGUACGGGAGAGGAAAGUGGAAUUCCUGGUGUAGCGGUGAAAUGCGUAGAUAUCAGGAGGAACACCGGUGGUGUAGACGGCUUUCUGGACCGUAACUGACGCUGAGACACGAAAGCGUGGGUAGCAAACAGG
This 253-nucleotide ribosomal RNA is filed under the name uncultured bacterium. Its description in RNAcentral is "partial 16S ribosomal RNA". It matches the Rfam family "Bacterial small subunit ribosomal RNA", at positions 524 to 776 of the family's 1533-position model. The record is from RNAcentral.